This 253-nucleotide ribosomal RNA is filed under the name uncultured bacterium. Its description in RNAcentral is "partial 16S ribosomal RNA". It matches the Rfam family "Bacterial small subunit ribosomal RNA", at positions 524 to 776 of the family's 1533-position model. The record is from RNAcentral.
UACGUAGGGUCCGAGCGUUGUCCGGAAUUACUGGGCGUAAAGAGCUCGUAGGUGGUUUGUCGCGUUGUUCGUGAAAACUCACAGCUUAACUGUGGGCGUGCGGGCGAUACGGGCAGACUGGAGUACUGCAGGGGAGACUGGAAUUCCUGGUUUAGCGGUGGAAUGCGCAGAUAUCAGGAGGAACACCGGUGGCGAAGGCAGCUCUCUGGGUCCCUACCGACGCUGGGGUGCGAAAGCAUGGGGAGCGAACAGG